Molecule: ribosomal RNA, 76 nt
Filed under: Ailuropoda melanoleuca (giant panda)
Lineage: Eukaryota; Metazoa; Chordata; Mammalia; Carnivora; Ursidae
Source: RNAcentral
CACCCUGAACCUGCCCGAUCUCAUCUGAUCUCGGAAGCUAAGUGGGGUCGGACCCGGUUAGUACUUGGAUGGGAGA